UAAUGUGCCAGCAUAGUGUUUAGAGCACUGGACUACAACUCUGGAGACCAGGGUUCAAAUCCCUGCUCAUCCA
This is a non-coding RNA of Phrynosoma platyrhinos (Desert horned lizard), 73 nucleotides long. NCBI's taxonomy places the organism in Eukaryota, Metazoa, Chordata, Lepidosauria, Squamata, Phrynosomatidae. The record is from the annotation of a GenBank genome assembly.